UACGUAGGUGGCAAGCGUUAUCCGGAAUUAUUGGGCGUAAAGAGCGCGCAGGUGGUUGAUUAAGUCUGAUGUGAAAGCCCACGGCUUAACCGUGGAGGGUCAUUGGAAACUGGUCGACUUGAGUGCAGAAGAGGGAAGUGGAAUUCCAUGUGUAGCGGUGAAAUGCGUAGAGAUAUGGAGGAACACCAGUGGCGAAGGCGGCUUCCUGGUCUGUAACUGACACUGAGGCGCGAAAGCGUGGGGAGCAAACAGGAUUAGAUACCCCGUA
This 268-nucleotide ribosomal RNA is filed under the name uncultured prokaryote. Its description in RNAcentral is "partial 16S ribosomal RNA". It matches the Rfam family "Bacterial small subunit ribosomal RNA", at positions 524 to 791 of the family's 1533-position model. The record is from RNAcentral.